Molecule: ribosomal RNA, 292 nt
Filed under: uncultured bacterium
Lineage: Bacteria
Description: partial 16S ribosomal RNA
Rfam family: Bacterial small subunit ribosomal RNA
Source: RNAcentral
GAUGAACGCUAGCGGCAGGCUUAACACAUGCAAGUCGAGGGGUAGAAGGAGCUUGCUCCUUUGAGACCGGCGCACGGGUGCGUAACGCGUAUGCAAUCUACCUUUUGCAGAGGAUAGCCCAGAGAAAUUUGGAUUAAUACCUCAUAGUAUGUGAGGAGUGGCAUCUAUUUUCACAUUAAAGUCACAACGGCAAAGAUGAGCAUGCGUCCCAUUAGCUAGUUGGUAAGGUAACGGCUUACCAAGGCUACGAUGGGUAGGGUCCUGAGAGGGAGAUCCCCCACACUGGUACUGA